GAGAUGUCAAAGACCACUCCUUCUGGAGAGAAGGAUCGGGCAUUGACAUCGAGUGCUCUAACAUCUGACACUCUCUUGCAGGAGAUUAGGCAUAAGAGCAUAACUAGUUUAGCUGAUAGUUGUUUCAAGGAUAAAGACUCGUUGUCUGGCCACCGUGUCAAGAAAUUCAAUAUUAGGGAGACGUCCCACAGGGAGGAAUAGCGAGGUUGGGGUGGCCUUGCAAAGCGAAUGCCUCGGAGAAGACGACAGACAAUUGGGUGUCGUCCUAUCGGGGCCCCAUCAAUGCCGGUAUGGCCGGCCGAUAUGGCCGAACGGUAGAGGUUUACUGUCCUGUAAGCCUUCCCGUCGUCAUAAAGGGAUGUUAAGAAUUGCAGGACUGUUGUCACAGGAGUUGAUAGGGGAUCCAAACCCCGUGCCAUGCACCAACCAUCCCAUGUGCGCCAAGCAGACUUGUAAGACUGCCUCGUGCCGGGUGCCCAUGAGCCCUCGAGAAGUCGGAGAGUCGAUUGCGAAACUCCCUCGAUCGAC
Molecule: non-coding RNA, 528 nt
Organism: Pelobates cultripes (western spadefoot toad)
Lineage: Eukaryota; Metazoa; Chordata; Amphibia; Anura; Pelobatidae
Source: the annotation of a GenBank genome assembly